GUUGAGGGGAAUGUUGUCUGGUCGGAGACCUAACACCGCGAAUCAUCCAUGGAGCAGCAUGCAUGGUGGUGGAUGGUUUCGGACCAGGCUUCAUUCCCCCCAAC
Sorghum bicolor (sorghum) is the source of this 104-nucleotide microRNA precursor. It matches the Rfam family "mir-166 microRNA precursor family". Rfam says of the family: This family represents the plant microRNA (miRNA) precursor mir-166. Animal miRNAs are transcribed as ~70nt precursors and subsequently processed by the Dicer enzyme to give a ~22nt product. NCBI's taxonomy places the organism in Eukaryota, Viridiplantae, Streptophyta, Magnoliopsida, Poales, Poaceae. The record is from Rfam.